Molecule: ribosomal RNA, 913 nt
Filed under: uncultured archaeon
Lineage: Archaea
Description: bacterial SSU rRNA
Rfam family: Archaeal small subunit ribosomal RNA
Source: RNAcentral
UUCCGGUUGAUCCCGCCGGACCUGACUGCUAUCGGAUUGAUACUAAGCCAUGUGAGUCAUUGUAGCAAUACAAGGCAGACGGCUCAGUAACACGUAACCAACCUACCCUAUGGACGGGGAUAACCUCGGGAAACUGAGGAUAAACCCCGAUAGAUCAUUAUGCCUAGAACGGUUUAUGGUCCAAAUGAUUCGUCGCCAUAGGAUGGGAUUGCGGCCUAUCAGCUUGUUGGUGAGGUAAUGGCCCACCAAGGCUAUUACAGGUACGGGCUCUGAGAGGAGAAGCCCGGAGAUGGGUACUGAGACACGGACCCAGGCCCUAUGAGGCGCAGCAGGCGAGAAACCUUUGCAAUGUGCGCAAGCACGACAAGGUUAAUCCGAGUGUUUCCUGCUAAAGGAAUCUUUUGUUAGUCCUAAAAACACUAGCGAAUAAGGGGUGGGCAAGUUCUGGUGUCAGCCGCCGCGGUAAAACCAGCACCUCAAGUGGUCAGGAGGAUUAUUGGGCCUAAAGCAUCCGUAGCCUGCUCUGUAAGUUUCCGGUUAAAUCCAUUCGCUCAACUGAUGGGCUGCCGGAAAAACUGCAAAGCUAGGGAGUGGGAGAGGUAGACGGUACUCGGUAGGAAGGGGUAAAAUCCUUUGAUCUAUUGAUGACCACCUGUGGCGAAGGCGGUCUACCAGAACACGUUCGACGGUGAGGGAUGAAAGCUGGGGGAGCAAACCGGAUUAGAUACCCGGGUAGUCCCAGCUGUAAACGAUGCAGACUCGGUGAUGCUCUGGCUUGUGGCCAGUGCAGUGCCGCAGGAAGCCGUUAAGUUUGCCGCCUGGGAAGUACGUACGCAAGUAUGAAACUUAAAGGAAUUGGCGGGGGAGCACCACAAGGGGUGAAGCCUGCGGUUCAAUUGGAUUCAACGCCGGA